RNAcentral lists this ribosomal RNA (494 nucleotides) under uncultured bacterium. RNAcentral describes it as "partial 16S ribosomal RNA". It matches the Rfam family "Bacterial small subunit ribosomal RNA", at positions 28 to 507 of the family's 1533-position model. The record is from RNAcentral.
GACGAACGCUGGCGGCGCGCUUAACACAUGCAAGUCGAACGGAAAGGCCUGCUUUCCCUUGUGGAUUGCGGGUACUCGAGUGGCGAACGGGUGAGUAACACGUGAGUGAUCUGCCCCCAACUUGGGUAUAAGCCUGGGAAACUGGGUCUAAUUCCCGAUAGGACUGCAGGGUGGUGCCUGUGGUGGCAAACGAUUUUCUAGUGGUUGGGGAUGAGCUCGCGGCCUAUCAGCUUGUUGGUGGGGUAAUGGCCUACCAAGGCGGCGACGGGUAGCCGGCCUGGGAGAGUGGACGGCCACAUUGGGACUGAGAUACGGCCCAGACUCCUACGGGAGGCAGCAGUGGGGAAUAUUGCACAAUGGGCGGAAGACUGAGGCAGCGACGCCGCGUGGGGGAUGACGGCCUUCGGGUUGUAAACUCCUUUCGACCGCGAGGAAGCCACCUGGUUGGAAGGGUGGUGACGGUAGUGGUAGAAGAAGCACCGGCUAACUACGUG